This 237-nucleotide ribosomal RNA is filed under the name Klebsiella pneumoniae. Its description in RNAcentral is "partial 23S ribosomal RNA". It matches the Rfam family "Bacterial large subunit ribosomal RNA", at positions 1428 to 1666 of the family's 2925-position model. The record is from RNAcentral. Lineage: Bacteria; Pseudomonadati; Pseudomonadota; Gammaproteobacteria; Enterobacterales; Enterobacteriaceae.
GGUUAAUAUUCCUGUACUUGGUGUUACUGCGAAGGGGGGACGGAGAAGGCUAUGUUAGCCGGGCGACGGUUGUCCCGGUUUAAGCAUGUAGGCUGGUUAUCCAGGCAAAUCCGGAUAACCAAGGCUGAGGUGUGAUGACGAGGCACUACGGUGCUGAAGUAACAAAUGCCCUGCUUCCAGGAAAAGCCUCUAAGCAUCAGGUAACAUCAAAUCGUACCCCAAACCGACACAGGUGGU